Molecule: long non-coding RNA, 247 nt
Filed under: Amborella trichopoda
Lineage: Eukaryota; Viridiplantae; Streptophyta; Magnoliopsida; Amborellales; Amborellaceae
Description: long non-coding RNA (ATRI_LNC000890)
Source: RNAcentral
GGGUAAUGAGCACACCUGCAGUGAACGUCCAUGAGAACAACCCACCAGCUGGAGUUGGCACAUCAGUUGUUAGGUUAAACGCUAGAGCGAUCAUUGCUACCAACACGACCAUCCCCAUUAGGCCUGCAACCCUAGUGUGAAAGGACUGUGCAAUUUGAAAUACACCUGUAAAUGAGAUCACACCAAGCAUGGGAGCCUGUGGGCGUAUUCAUCUUUCUGAGAUUCUUGCUUGAAAAGAGAAGUUUCC